UACAGAGACUGCAAGCGUUAUUCGGAUUCACUGGGCGUAAAGGGUGCGCAGGUGGCCAAGUGUGUCAGGUGUGAAAUCCCGGGGCUUAACCCCGGAACUGCGCCUGAAACUGCUUGGCUAGAGCAUUGGAGAGGGAAGUGGAAUUCACGGUGUAGCAGUGAAAUGCGUAGAUAUCGUGAGGAACACCAGAGGCGAAGGCGACUUCCUGGACAAUUGCUGACACUCAGGCACGAAAGCGUGGGUAGCCAAA
RNAcentral lists this ribosomal RNA (250 nucleotides) under uncultured bacterium. Its description in RNAcentral is "partial 16S ribosomal RNA". It matches the Rfam family "Bacterial small subunit ribosomal RNA", at positions 524 to 773 of the family's 1533-position model. The record is from RNAcentral.